This 449-nucleotide ribosomal RNA is filed under the name uncultured bacterium. RNAcentral describes it as "partial 16S ribosomal RNA". It matches the Rfam family "Bacterial small subunit ribosomal RNA", at positions 29 to 523 of the family's 1533-position model. The record is from RNAcentral.
AACGAACGCUGGCGGCAUGCCUAACACAUGCAAGUCGAACGAAGGCUUCGGCCUUAGUGGCGCACGGGUGCGUAACGCGUGGGAAUCUGCCCUUAGGUUCGGAAUAACAGCUGGAAACGGCUGCUAAUACCGGAUGAUAUCGCGAGAUCAAAGAUUUAUCGCCUGAGGAUGAGCCCGCGUUGGAUUGGGUAGUUGGUGGGGUAAAGGCCUACCAAGCCGACGAUCCAUAGCUGGUCUGAGAGGAUGAUCAGCCACACUGGGACUGAGACACGGCCCAGACUCCUACGGGAGGCAGCAGUGGGGAAUAUUGGACAAUGGGCGCAAGCCUGAUCCAGCAAUGCCGCGUGAGUGAUGAAGGCCCUAGGGUUGUAAAGCUCUUUUACCCGGGAAGAUAAUGACUGUACCGGGAGAAUAAGCCCCGGCUAACUCCGUGCCAGCCGCCGCAGUAA